This 511-nucleotide long non-coding RNA is filed under the name Capsicum annuum. RNAcentral describes it as "long non-coding RNA (CANN_LNC003851)". Lineage: Eukaryota; Viridiplantae; Streptophyta; Magnoliopsida; Solanales; Solanaceae. The record is from RNAcentral.
GUACACACACAAAAAAUUACUCCAUCUUUCUUCUUAAAGACAUACUCACACUAGCACACAAAAGACGCUCCAUUUUUUUUCUCUUCCCUUCUCCGUAUAAACACACAUCACAACGGAGAAGAACAAGACACAGAUCACAACACUCCAAUUUCCAUCUUCCUUCAUUUUUUUUUUCAACACUACAAAAACUCCAUUUUUCUCUUCCCUUCUUCUCCGUAUAGACUACAUUCACAAACACACAUAAAAAAAAAAUCUCCAAAUCCCGCCAGCCACCACUGUCAAACCAGAUUCGACGACCUCCCCGACAAACACACUCCAGAUCCGGUAGCUCGCUACCACCACUGAAAGUAAUAUUAUAUUAUUUAAUUUUAUUUGUGAUUUUAUUUUCUCUGAGAUAUAUUGAUAUUAUUUUAUUUAUGCUAUAAUACCGGACCAAUGAUAUUGUCUUUCCGUCGAUAUUUGAGGACACCUCAUUAUAAAAGACAGAUUUUAUUUAUCAAAUUAUUAUUUG